CCCUUAGAUGUUCUGGGCUGCACGCGCGCUACACUGAUGCGAUCAACAAGUUUUUCCUAUGUCGAUAGACACGGUUAAUCUUUUGAACUCGCAUCGUGAUGGGGAUAGAUUAUUGUAAUUAUUAAUCUUCAACGAGGAAUUCCUAGUAGGUGCAAAUCAUCAGUUUGCAUCGAUUACGUCCCUGCCCUUUGUACACACCGCCCGUCGCUGCUACCGAUUGGUUGAUCUGGUGAAUUAUUCGGACUGCCGGCUGAAGGGGUUUCCUCAUCUGCCAGCGGAAAGUCUUGUUAACCCUAUCAACUAGAGGAAGCAGAAGUCGUAACA
This 324-nucleotide ribosomal RNA is filed under the name uncultured eukaryote. RNAcentral describes it as "partial 18S ribosomal RNA". It matches the Rfam family "Eukaryotic small subunit ribosomal RNA", at positions 1470 to 1796 of the family's 1831-position model. The record is from RNAcentral.